Long non-coding RNA from Mauremys reevesii (Reeves's turtle), 403 nucleotides. RefSeq lists it as uncharacterized. NCBI's taxonomy places the organism in Eukaryota, Metazoa, Chordata, Testudines, Geoemydidae. The record is from RefSeq and is a predicted model, not a curated record. The transcript is spliced from 3 exons.
GAUUCCGCACAAGAACUUGCUCAUAUGGAACCAAACUGUCCCCUUUGCUUGUAGGCAAAGAGGGGAUGAAAUGCUUGCAAAUAUCUAUCAAAAACGGUAUUACUGUAGCUCAGUUGGCCAUCUGGUACAGAACACAGGCUGUGAAGUCACACAACAGGAUUUGGGCUCAGAACCAAUGACGAUACUACUGUAAUACCGACAGACCCUGGUCUCAGUGGGCCAGAUCAAACCUGGGAUCUCUGGAGCUAAAUGCAUGAGUCUCUACUGCAUGAGUGACUGUCCAGGAUGGAAGUUAAAGAUCCAAUGUGUUCCUUAUCCACCCUGUUCCUCCACAUAGCACGGAAAGACAGUUUUAAGCCAGUGUUCCCCCGUCUCAAGAGAACAAGAAGAUCUGCUCUCCAAC